GAGGCCGAAAGGCGUAGUCGAUGGGAAACGGGUUAAUAUUCCCGUACUUGGUGUUACUGCGAAGGGGGGACGGAGAAGGCUAUGUUGGCCGGGCGACGGUUGUCCCGGUUUAAGCGUGUAGGCUGGUUUUCCAGGCAAAUCCGGAAAAUCAAGGCUGAGGCGUGAUGACGAGGCACUACGGUGCUGAAGCAACAAAUGCCCUGCUUCCAGGAAAAGCCUCUAAGCAUCAGGUAACAUCAAAUCGUACCCCAAACCGACACAGGUGGUCAGGUAGAGAAUACCAAGGCGCUUGAGAGAACUCGGGUGAAGGAACUAGGCAAAAUGGUGCCGUAACUUCGGGAGAAGGCACGCUGACACGUAGGUGAAGUGAUUUACUCAUGGAGCUGAAGUCAGUCGAAGAUACCAGCUGGCUGCAACUGUUUAUUAAAAACACAGCACUGUGCAAACACGAAAGUGGACGUAUACGGUGUGACGCCUGCCCGGUGCCGGAAGGUUAAUUGAUGGGGUCAGCGCAAGCGAAGCUCCUGAUCGAAGCCCCGGUAAACGGCGGCCGUAACUAUAACGGUCCUAAGGUAGCGAAAUUCCUUGUCGGGUAAGUUCCGACCUGCACGAAUGGCGUAAUGAUGGCCAGGCUGUCUCCACCCGAGACUCAGUGAAAUUGAACUCGCUGUGAAGAUGCAGUGUACCCGCGGCAAGACGGAAAGACCCCGUGAACCUUUACUAUAGCUUGACACUGAACAUUGAGCCUUGAUGUGUAGGAUAGGUGGGAGGCUUUGAAGUGUGGACGCCAGUCUGCAUGGAGCCGACCUUGAAAUACCACCCUUUAAUGUUUGAUGUUCUAACGUGGACCCGUUACCCGGGUUGCGGACAGUGUCUGGUGGGUAGUUUGACUGGGGCGGUCUCCUCCUAAAGAGUAACGGAGGAGCACGAAGGUUGGCUAAUCCUGGUCGGACAUCAGGAGGUUAGUGCAAUGGCAUAAGCCAGCUUGACUGCGAGCGUGACGGCGCGAGCAGGUGCGAAAGCAGGUCAUAGUGAUCCGGUGGUUCUGAAUGGAAGGGCCAUCGCUCAACGGAUAAAAGGUACUCCGGGGAUAACAGGCUGAUACCGCCCAAGAGUUCAUAUCGACGGCGGUGUUUGGCACCUCGAUGUCGGCUCAUCACAUCCUGGGGCUGAAGUAGGUCCCAAGGGUAUGGCUGUUCGCCAUUUAAAGUGGUACGCGAGCUGGGUUUAGAACGUCGUGAGACAGUUCGGUCCCUAUCUGCCGUGGGCGCUGGAGAACUGAGGGGGGCUGCUCCUAGUACGAGAGGACCGGAGUGGACGCAUCACUGGUGUUCGGGUUGUCAUGCCAAUGGCACUGCCCGGUAGCUAAAUGCGGAAGAGAUAAGUGCUGAAAGCAUCUAAGCACGAAACUUGCCCCGA
RNAcentral lists this ribosomal RNA (1419 nucleotides) under Salmonella enterica subsp. enterica serovar Enteritidis. Its description in RNAcentral is "partial 23S ribosomal RNA". It matches the Rfam family "Bacterial large subunit ribosomal RNA", at positions 1398 to 2802 of the family's 2925-position model. The record is from RNAcentral. Lineage: Bacteria; Pseudomonadati; Pseudomonadota; Gammaproteobacteria; Enterobacterales; Enterobacteriaceae.